Molecule: long non-coding RNA, 322 nt
Organism: Rana temporaria (common frog)
Lineage: Eukaryota; Metazoa; Chordata; Amphibia; Anura; Ranidae
Exons: 3
Source: RefSeq, a predicted model, not a curated record
UGCAGUUCCUCUGAGCUCCACAAAGUGGUGAUCUCACUUCUACCCAGACAAGAAGUCUCUAUGGAAGACAGGAAAUGAUGUCAGGUAUAAAUAGGAAGUUCCAGGUUAGAGGUGCGUCGGGAGGAAGUAGAGAGGAGACAUUGCUGAAAGUGGCAGCAGAGGAGAUUUGGGAAGUCUGGUGAAAAUGACCAUCACAUUUCUUCCAACUCCUGAUAGAAUACAGAAAUAAAAAGAAGAUUCCAGAAGUCCCCAGCAAGAUCACUGGGCUGCUGACAGGAGAGGUUCCUAUAAGGUGUCAGGAUGUCACUGUCUAUUUCUCCAU